This 254-nucleotide ribosomal RNA is filed under the name uncultured bacterium. Its description in RNAcentral is "partial 16S ribosomal RNA". It matches the Rfam family "Bacterial small subunit ribosomal RNA", at positions 524 to 776 of the family's 1533-position model. The record is from RNAcentral.
CACGUAGGGGGCGAGCGUUGUCCGGAUUUAUUGGGCGUAAAGAGCUCGUAGGCGGCUCAGUAAGUCAGGCGUGAAAAGCCCCUGGCUCAACCUGGGAACAGCGCUUGAGACUGGCACGCUCGAGUUCGGGAGAGGAUGGUGGAAUUCCCAGUGUAGAGGUGAAAUUCGUAGAUAUUGGGAAGAACACCGAUGGCGAAGGCAGCCAUCUGGACCGACACUGACGCUGAGGCGCGAAAGCGUGGGUAGCAAACAGG